UACGUAGGGGGCGAGCGUUAUCCGGAACUACUGGGCGUAAAGCGCACGCAGGCGGUUCGCCAAGUUUGGAGUGACAGUUGUCGGCUCAACCGACAAAGGACUUCAAAAACUGGUGAACUUGAGGACGAGAGAGGAACAUGGAACUCCAGGUGUAGUAGUGAAAUGCGUAGAUAUCUGGAAGAACACCAAUGGCGAAGGCAAUGUUCUGGCUCGUUUCUGACGCUCAGGUGCGAAAGCCAGGGGAGCGAACGGG
RNAcentral lists this ribosomal RNA (253 nucleotides) under uncultured bacterium. Its description in RNAcentral is "partial 16S ribosomal RNA". It matches the Rfam family "Bacterial small subunit ribosomal RNA", at positions 524 to 776 of the family's 1533-position model. The record is from RNAcentral.